CUCCCAAACGUAGAGGGGGAGAGGAGGAAAGUGGGGGGCAGUGAGGGAGUAAGAGGGAGCUGCUGCUGGGAGGCAGCCAGGGGAGGAAGGUCCAAAGAGACAGCGGGGUGGGCUGACUGGGGGUCGCUGGGCCGCGGAUUCCCCAGGCCUGGUGGGGGAGCGGCGGCGGGUCCGGCCCGUUCACUCUCCAGUGGCCCUGGCCGGCGGCUCCGCGACUUCCGGACCGGCUCCAAGCCGGACGCAGGCCCCGCGGGACCUUUGGCCGGACGGGACAGUGCGGAGCGGCCCCUUCGGCCGGGCCUCCUGGUAGUCAGCAGCAGUUGACAAAUGACCUGAUUCCACAGGUAAACUUGAGAAACAAAGAAAGGAACGUUGGCCUUGAAGUUCGUCAAAACUAAAAAAGCAUGAGUGAUGGUACAGAGCAAUCACUGAACGAAUUUUUCUGGUGUGAUUCAAAACAAUGAAACUUGCACAGAGAUUUCUGGUGCAUGGUAAUAUCUGUUACAUGGCUACCUCUUCAGCAAAAUCAAGCACUGAGGACCAUUACAGACAACGUGCUACAUAUGCUUACUUUUUACCAAUACAGACAAGAUGGCAGGACAACAAUCAGUAUGGACAUGUGAACAAUGCUGUCUACUACAGCUAUUUCGACACUAUAAUCAACCAUUUUUUGAUCAGGUAUGUAUAUUGCUCCUCAGGGACUGCCCCCAGACUUCCUUUGUAUAUUUACUCAUCUGGGUGAUUUUGAAGUAGUUUUGGGGUUAAGUAGGUAAAUGUAUUUAUGCACUUCCAUUCUAUUCUUAUAUGCCCCAGUGAUCCAGAAUGAAGCAAACAUUCAAACUGAAAUACCGCUGCAGCAAAGACACAAGUAUUUAAACGCUUGGGCAGUAUUUAAAGUAAAUUUAGUUUCACACAUAAUCCACUUAACUGGAAUUGGUAUUUGAAAAUAAACUUUAAAAAUUAUAUGUAAGCUGAAUGAUAUAGUUCUCUGUAAUCCACAGUAGUUUGUAUAUGCUAGUAGCAACAUCUCUUAGAUGAUGGACAGGCACUGGCACAUGUCCUUUCUUGUGGAUGUUGGCAAGCACUAGCAUUUGUCUUCUCAUGAAGCACUGUCAAACCCUUUUAUGAUAUAGGUAUUACAUGUCCUUUCUCAAGGUGUUGAUGAGGAGCUGUUAUUAUAACCCUUUCUUUGAUUUUUGUUAAAAGCCAAAAGGCGUUGUCAUAACCCUUAUUUCGGUAACAAUCCUGCAGACAUUUAUGCAUGUGCCUAAUUUUAAGCACACAAGUAAUCCAUCUGAAGUCAGUUAGUUCUUUGUUUAAGAUUUUUCAGGUUUGGGAUCUGACUGUAUGUAGCUCAUUUUGUUCUAUGUAACUGCCAUAUCUAGGGUGAACUGCAUGCCGCUCUCAUGGAAAUUAGGCAAAUGCUAAUCUUGUUUUCUGUGCAUGGUUUAUAUGUCUGAAACUUCAUAGUAUUGCCACUGAGGAUGCACACCUUAGGAAAGGGACAUAAUUGACCAAAAGGGAUACUUUAGAUGUUAGUUCCUGCUUUCAAAAAAUGAAACUGCCAACAAAAAUUCAGAUGGGUAAGUUAAGCAAUUCUGAUUUUCAUACAUUAAAUCGACUGUUCUGGCUACUAUAUAACAAGAAAUCACUAAACAUAUAUGUGGUAAUACAAUUACAUAUUCUGUACAAAGGACUGGAUGGCAAUUACUGUGGGCUUCAUGCAGGGCCGGCUCCAGGGUUUUGGCUGCCCCAAGCAGCCAAACAUUAAAAAAAAAAA
This is a long non-coding RNA of Chrysemys picta bellii (western painted turtle), 1780 nucleotides long. RefSeq lists it as uncharacterized. NCBI's taxonomy places the organism in Eukaryota, Metazoa, Chordata, Testudines, Emydidae. The record is from RefSeq and is a predicted model, not a curated record.